UUUUAAGUAUAAGGAUGUCCCAUGCAAAAUUUGGGACAUACAUAUAUUAAAA
This 52-nucleotide microRNA precursor is filed under the name Ursus americanus (American black bear). Its description in RNAcentral is "mir-1302 microRNA precursor family". It matches the Rfam family "mir-1302 microRNA precursor family". Lineage: Eukaryota; Metazoa; Chordata; Mammalia; Carnivora; Ursidae. RNAcentral also lists the same sequence under 2 other names. The record is from Rfam by way of RNAcentral.